RNAcentral lists this ribosomal RNA (1115 nucleotides) under Trichoderma lixii. RNAcentral's name for it is "eukaryotic LSU rRNA". The stretch from base 513 to 1115 matches the Rfam family "Eukaryotic large subunit ribosomal RNA", at positions 1 to 627 of the family's 3401-position model. The record is from RNAcentral. Lineage: Eukaryota; Fungi; Ascomycota; Sordariomycetes; Hypocreales; Hypocreaceae.
CCCAAUGUGAACGUUACCAAACUGUUGCCUCGGCGGGAUCUCUGCCCCGGGUGCGUCGCAGCCCCGGACCAAGGCGCCCGCCGGAGGACCAACCAAAACUUCUUAUUGUAUACCCCCUCGCGGGUUUUUUUAUAAUCUGAGCCUUCUCGGCGCCUCUCGUAGGCGUUUCGAAAAUGAAUCAAAACUUUCAACAACGGAUCUCUUGGUUCUGGCAUCGAUGAAGAACGCAGCGAAAUGCGAUAAGUAAUGUGAAUUGCAGAAUUCAGUGAAUCAUCGAAUCUUUGAACGCACAUUGCGCCCGCCAGUAUUCUGGCGGGCAUGCCUGUCCGAGCGUCAUUUCAACCCUCGAACCCCUCCGGGGGGUCGGCGUUGGGGAUCGGCCCUGCCUUGGCGGUGGCCGUCUCCGAAAUACAGUGGCGGUCUCGCCGCAGCCUCUCCUGCGCAGUAGUUUGCACACUCGCAUCGGGAGCGCGGCGCGUCCACAGCCGUUAAACACCCAACUUCUGAAAUGUUGACCUCGGAUCAGGUAGGAAUACCCGCUGAACUUAAGCAUAUCAAUAAGCGGAGGAAAAGAAACCAACAGGGAUUGCCCCAGUAACGGCGAGUGAAGCGGCAACAGCUCAAAUUUGAAAUCUGGUCCCUAGGGCCCGAGUUGUAAUUUGUAGAGGAUGCUUUUGGUGAGGUGCCGCCCGAGUUCCCUGGAACGGGACGCCACAGAGGGUGAGAGCCCCGUCUGGCUGGCCGCCGAGCCUCUGUAAAGCUCCUUCGACGAGUCGAGUAGUUUGGGAAUGCUGCUCAAAAUGGGAGGUAUAUGUCUUCUAAAGCUAAAUAUUGGCCAGAGACCGAUAGCGCACAAGUAGAGUGAUCGAAAGAUGAAAAGCACCUUGAAAAGAGGGUUAAAUAGUACGUGAAAUUGUUGAAAGGGAAGCGCUUGUGACCAGACUUGGGCGCGGCGGAUCAUCCGGGGUUCUCUCCGGUGCACUUCGCCGCGUCUAGGCCAGCAUCAGUUCGUCGCGGGGGAAAAAGGCUUCGGGAACGUGGCUCCUCCGGGAGUGUUAUAGCCCGUUGCAUAAUACCCUGCGGUGGACUGAGGACCGCGCAUCUGCAAGGAUGCU